CCUACGGGACGCAGCAGUGGGGAAUAUUGGGCAAUGGGCGCAAGCCUGACCCAGCAACGCCGCGUGAAGGACGAAGGCUUUCGGGUUGUAAACUUCUUUUCUGAGGGACGAAGAAAGUGACGGUACCUCAGGAAUAAGCCACGGCUAACUACGUGCCAGCAGCCGCGGUAAUACGUAGGUGGCAAGCGUUAUCCGGAUUUACUGGGUGUAAAGGGAGCGUAGACGGUGAUGCAAGUCUGAAGUGAAAGGCGGGGGCCCAACCCCUGGACUGCUUUGGAAACUGUAUGGCUGGAGUGCAG
Molecule: ribosomal RNA, 299 nt
Filed under: uncultured bacterium
Lineage: Bacteria
Description: partial 16S ribosomal RNA
Rfam family: Bacterial small subunit ribosomal RNA
Source: RNAcentral